CCUACGGGUGGCAGCAGUGAGGAAUAUUGGUCAAUGGGAGAGAGCCUGAACCAGCCAAGCCGCGUGAGGGAAGACGGUCCUAUGGGUUGUAAACCUCUUUUGUCGGAGAACAAAACCCGGGACGUGUCCCCGACUGCGUGUACCCGAAGAAAAAGCAUCGGCUAACUCCGUGCCAGCAGCCGCGGUAAUACGGAGGAUGCGAGCGUUAUCCGGAUUUAUUGGGUUUAAAGGGUGCGUAGGCGGUCCGUUAAGUCAGCGGUAAAAUUGCGGGGCUCAACCCCGUCGAGCCGUUGAAACUGGCAGACUUGAGUUGGCGAGAAGUACGCGGAAUGCGCGGUGUAGCGGUGAAAUGCAUAGAUAUCGCGCAGAACUCCGAUUGCGAAGGCAGCAUGCCGGCGCCAGACUGACGCUGAGGCACGAAAGCGUGGGGAUCGAACAGGAUUAGAUACCCUUGUAGUC
This 459-nucleotide ribosomal RNA is filed under the name uncultured bacterium. RNAcentral describes it as "partial 16S ribosomal RNA". It matches the Rfam family "Bacterial small subunit ribosomal RNA", at positions 338 to 795 of the family's 1533-position model. The record is from RNAcentral.